GGGGGUGCAAUGGUCUCGACGGGGAUUCUGAGGCACGAUAAGCGUGGCGGGCUGAGUAAUCCCGUAAACUGCUCAACUUUAAAAAAUAAACGACAACAACACUGUUGCUAUGGCUGCCUAAUUGACAUCCCUUCGGGGAUGCCAAUUGGCGGUGCUGUGACCUGCGGGUCACCCGUUCCUCCUCGGAGUACCGCGACCGAGGACUGAGCGUCAAAUGAGCGGUGAACUUGCAUCGGUGGUUCGCUCUUGAGCCGAUCAAGCAAAAAAGGGCUACUCUGACGCGGAGCGUGUUUGUUCGCGCCGCAGACGGGGAAUUCUAAACAACAAACUGCCCACGGAGAAGGUCGUGUCAAGGGGUUUUCGGACAUGGGUUCGAUUCCCAUCAUCUCCACCA
RNAcentral lists this transfer-messenger RNA (394 nucleotides) under Eubacteriales. RNAcentral describes it as "SIG644 sp017631215 Standard tmRNA". It matches the Rfam family "transfer-messenger RNA". Rfam says of the family: Bacterial tmRNA, also known as 10Sa RNA or SsrA, is named for its dual tRNA and mRNA-like properties. Its role is to liberate the mRNA from a stalled ribosome. Lineage: Bacteria; Bacillati; Bacillota; Clostridia. The record is from RNAcentral. RNAcentral also lists the same sequence under 1 other name.